Molecule: ribosomal RNA, 404 nt
Filed under: uncultured eukaryote
Lineage: Eukaryota
Description: partial small subunit ribosomal RNA
Rfam family: Eukaryotic small subunit ribosomal RNA
Source: RNAcentral
GCUUGUCUCAAAGAUUAAGCCAUGCAUGUGUAAGUAUCAGAAGUCUGAACUUCAAAACUGCGAAUGGCUCAUUAUAUCAGUUAUAGUUUAUUUGAUAGUCCCUUACUACUUGGAUAACCGUAGUAAUUCUAGAGCUAAUACAUGCAUCAACUCCCAACUGCUUCGCGGAAGGGAUGUAUUUAUUAGAUUGAAACCAAUGCACUUCGGUGGUAUUGUGGUGAAUCAUGAUAACUUUGCGGAUCGUAUGGCUUCACGCCGACGAUGAAUCAUUCAAGUUUCUGCCCUAUCAGCUUUGGAUGGUAGGGUAUUGGCCUACCAUGGCUUUGACGGGUAACGGAGAAUUGGGGUUCGGUUCCGGAGAGGGAGCCUGAGAGAUGGCUACCACAUCCAAGGAAGGCAGCAGG